AACGAACGCUGGCGGCAUGCCUAACACAUGCAAGUCGAACGAGACCUUCGGGUCUAGUGGCGCACGGGUGCGUAACGCGUGGGAACCUGCCCUUAGGUUCGGAAUAACUCCCCGAAAGGGGUGCUAAUACCGGAUAAUGUCUUCGGACCAAAGAUUUAUCGCCUUUGGAUGGGCCCGCGUUGGAUUAGCUAGUUGGUAGGGUAAAAGCCUACCAAGGCGACGAUCCAUAGCUGGUCUGAGAGGAUGAUCAGCCACACUGGGACUGAGACACGGCCCAAACUCCUCCGGAAGGGGGAAUGGGGGAAUAUUGGCAAUGGGCGAAAGCCUGAUCCAGCAAUGCCGCGUGAGUGAUGAAGGCCUUAGGGUUGUAAAGCUCUUUUACCCGGGAUGAUAAUGACAGUACCGGGAGAAUAAGCUCCGGCUAACUCCGUG
Molecule: ribosomal RNA, 432 nt
Filed under: uncultured bacterium
Lineage: Bacteria
Description: partial 16S ribosomal RNA
Rfam family: Bacterial small subunit ribosomal RNA
Source: RNAcentral